UCGCCUUUUACUAAAGAUUUCCGUGGAGAGAAACACUCACGAGUUUCUAUCCAAUUUUUUGAGGCUUCACUUAGGUGAGGCU
This 82-nucleotide small nuclear RNA is filed under the name Chelonia mydas (Green sea turtle). RNAcentral's name for it is "U5 spliceosomal RNA". It matches the Rfam family "U5 spliceosomal RNA", at positions 35 to 117 of the family's 117-position model. Rfam says of the family: U5 RNA is a component of both types of known spliceosome. The record is from Rfam by way of RNAcentral. Lineage: Eukaryota; Metazoa; Chordata; Testudines; Cheloniidae.